UACGUAGGGUGCGAGCGUUGUCCGGAAUUAUUGGGCGUAAAGAGCUCGUAGGCGGUCUGUCGCGUCGGUCGUGAAAACUUGGGGCUUAACCCUGAGCUUGCGGUCGAUACGGGCAUGACUGGAGUUCGGUAGGGGAGACUGGAAUUCCUGGUGUAGCGGUGAAAUGCGCAGAUAUCAGGAGGAACACCGGUGGCGAAGGCGGGUCUCUGGGCCGAUACUGACGCUGAGGAGCGAAAGCGUGGGGAGCGAACAGG
This 254-nucleotide ribosomal RNA is filed under the name uncultured bacterium. RNAcentral describes it as "partial 16S ribosomal RNA". It matches the Rfam family "Bacterial small subunit ribosomal RNA", at positions 524 to 776 of the family's 1533-position model. The record is from RNAcentral.